RNAcentral lists this transfer RNA (774 nucleotides) under uncultured cyanobacterium. Its description in RNAcentral is "partial 16S-23S ribosomal RNA intergenic spacer". The stretch from base 268 to 340 matches the Rfam family "tRNA". The record is from RNAcentral. Lineage: Bacteria; Bacillati; Cyanobacteriota.
CAGGGAGACAACACAAUGAUUUUGAUGCCUGAGUGCUUUUAUUCUUAGGCCGAAAUCCUGUCACCUUAGGUCGAUCGGUACCUCAGCUUUGAAGUUAAGGAUCAGCAGCAAUGUUGAUUGCUUGAUGGAGAUUUUCAGUUCCUAAACUUUGUCUAGGUCACACCCCAAAAGGGAUGAGACUCCUGGGCCAUUAGCUCAGGUGGUUAGAGCGCACCCCUGAUAAGGGUGAGGUCCCUGGUUCAAGUCCAGGAUGGCCCAUUCGGUGUUGGGGGUUUAGCUCAGUUGGUUGAGCGCCUGCUUUGCAAGCAGGAUGUCAGGAGUUCGAGUCUCCUAACCUCCACUGACCGAACUUGAUUCCCAUCUCCAAUUUUUUGGAGUUGAGCUCGAUUGGAGUGUGAUUUAGAUGUGUCCGCUGGAUGACCCCAGCUUCCUGUCAUUCCAAGUUUUAGGUUGAUGCCUUGAAUUUGGUUGAUAAGAUGCUGGGCUCGGAUCAAAUAAUCAAGCAAUUGAUGAUUUGAUUUGAAGUUCUAGCAGAACCUUGACAACUGCAUAGGUGAGUCUGGAAAAAACAAAGCAUCUUACAGAUGCAUUGUUUUGAAUCUGAUCUUCUGAAAGGGAGAUUGGAUCUAGAACAAUGAAAAUUCUUUUGAGCAAGAGCCGAGACUCUUGAGCGUUCUUUGAUUGGUGUCGAGCCAAUCAGAGUUUGAUCUUGUUUUUAGCAAUAAAAACUUGAGAAUCUGCUUUCAACGGCGGUAAGCGUUCAAGAGGUUAAUU